RNAcentral lists this transfer RNA (74 nucleotides) under Apaloderma vittatum (bar-tailed trogon). It matches the Rfam family "tRNA". From Rfam's summary of the family: Transfer RNA (tRNA) molecules are approximately 80 nucleotides in length. Their secondary structure includes four short double-helical elements and three loops (D, anti-codon, and T loops). Further hydrogen bonds mediate the characteristic L-shaped molecular structure. tRNAs have two regions of fundamental functional importance: the anti-codon, which is responsible for specific mRNA codon recognition, and the 3' end, to which the tRNAs corresponding amino acid is attached (by aminoacyl-tRNA synthetases). tRNAs cope with the degeneracy of the genetic code in two manners: having more than one tRNA (with a specific anti-codon) for a particular amino acid; and 'wobble' base-pairing, i.e. permitting non-standard base-pairing at the 3rd anti-codon position. Lineage: Eukaryota; Metazoa; Chordata; Aves; Trogoniformes; Trogonidae. The record is from Rfam by way of RNAcentral.
GAACAGGUGUGCUCAGUUGGUUAGAGCAUGGUGCUGAUAACACCAAGGUCGGGAGUUAGAUUCCCGUUUGGUCC